CCUACGGGUGGCAGCAGUGAGGAAUAUUGGUCAAUGGGCGCGAGCCUGAACCAGCCAAGUCGCGUGAGGGAUGAAGGUUCUAUGGAUCGUAAACCUCUUUUAUAAGGGGAUAAAGUGUGGGACGUGUCCUCUUUUGUAUGUACCUUAUGCAUAAGGAUCGGCUAACUCCGUGCCAGCAGCCGCGGUAAUACGGAGGGUCCGAGCGUUAUCCGGAUUUAUUGGGUUUAAAGGGUGCGUAGGCGGGCUGUUAAGUCAGCGGUGAAAGUCUGUGGCUCAACCAUAGAAUUGCCGUUGAAACUGGGGGGCUAGAGUAUGGUAGAGGCAGGCGGAAUGCGAGGUGUAGCGGUGAAAUGCUUAGAUAUCACGCAGAACCCCGAUGGCGAAGGCAGCCUGCCAAGCCAUGACUGACGCUGAUGCGCGAAAGCGUGGGGAUCAAACAGGAUUAGAUACCCGUGUAGUC
Molecule: ribosomal RNA, 460 nt
Filed under: uncultured bacterium
Lineage: Bacteria
Description: partial 16S ribosomal RNA
Rfam family: Bacterial small subunit ribosomal RNA
Source: RNAcentral